UACGGAGGGUGCGAGCGUUACCCGGAAUCACUGGGCGUAAAGGGCGUGUAGGCGGGACUUUAAGUCUGACGUCAAAGGCAACGGCUCAACCGUUGUAGGGGGUUGGAUACUGGAGUUCUAGAGUUCUGGAGAGGAAACUGGAAUUCUUGGUGUAGCGGUGGAAUGCGUAGAUACCAAGAGGAACACCGAUGGCGAAGGCAGGUUGCUGGACAGAAGGUGACGCUGAGGCGCGAAAGUGUGGGGAGCGAACCGG
Molecule: ribosomal RNA, 253 nt
Filed under: uncultured bacterium
Lineage: Bacteria
Description: partial 16S ribosomal RNA
Rfam family: Bacterial small subunit ribosomal RNA
Source: RNAcentral